UACGAAGGGGGCUAGCGUUGCUCGGAAUCACUGGGCGUAAAGGGCGCGUAGGCGGCCAUUCAAGUCAGGGGUGAAAGCCUGUGGCUCAACCACAGAAUUGCCUUUGAUACUGGAGAGCUCGAGUCCGGAAGAGGUGAGUGGAACUGCGAGUGUAGAGGUGAAAUUCGUAGAUAUUCGCAAGAACACCAGUGGCGAAGGCGGCUCACUGGUCCGGUACUGACGCUGAGGCGCGAAAGCGUGGGGAGCAAACAGG
Molecule: ribosomal RNA, 253 nt
Filed under: uncultured bacterium
Lineage: Bacteria
Description: partial 16S ribosomal RNA
Rfam family: Bacterial small subunit ribosomal RNA
Source: RNAcentral